This 466-nucleotide ribosomal RNA is filed under the name Vreelandella stevensii. RNAcentral describes it as "partial 16S ribosomal RNA". It matches the Rfam family "Bacterial small subunit ribosomal RNA", at positions 338 to 795 of the family's 1533-position model. The record is from RNAcentral. Lineage: Bacteria; Pseudomonadati; Pseudomonadota; Gammaproteobacteria; Oceanospirillales; Halomonadaceae.
CCUACGGGGGGGCUGCAGUGGGGAAUAUUGGACAAUGGGGGCAACCCUGAUCCAGCCAUGCCGCGUGUGUGAAGAAGGCCCUCGGGUUGUAAAGCACUUUCAGUGAGGAAGAACGCCUGGUGGUUAAUACCCAUCAGGAAAGACAUCACUCACAGAAGAAGCACCGGCUAACUCCGUGCCAGCAGCCGCGGUAAUACGGAGGGUGCGAGCGUUAAUCGGAAUUACUGGGCGUAAAGCGCGCGUAGGUGGCUUGAUAAGCCGGUUGUGAAAGCCCCGGGCUCAACCUGGGAACGGCAUCCGGAACUGUCAAGCUAGAGUGCAGGAGAGGAAGGUAGAAUUCCCGGUGUAGCGGUGAAAUGCGUAGAGAUCGGGAGGAAUACCAGUGGCGAAGGCGGCCUUCUGGACUGACACUGACACUGAGGUGCGAAAGCGUGGGUAGCAAACAGGAUUAGAUACCCCGGUAGUC